This 305-nucleotide unclassified non-coding RNA is filed under the name air metagenome. RNAcentral describes it as "partial contains small subunit ribosomal RNA, internal transcribed spacer 1, and 5.8S ribosomal RNA". The stretch from base 1 to 46 matches the Rfam family "Eukaryotic small subunit ribosomal RNA", at positions 1786 to 1831 of the family's 1831-position model. The record is from RNAcentral.
AAGUCGUAACAAGGUUUCCGUAGGUGAACCUGCGGAAGGAUCAUUAUUGAAUACGAUUGGUACUGAUGCUGUCUCUUCACUGAGCAUGUGCUCGUUCCAUCUAUUUAUCUUCUCUUGUGCACAUCUUGUGGUCUUGAAUUGAAACCUUUCGCAUUCGUGCGGUUUGGGAGCUUGAAUAAACUCUGCUCCUGCUUCUUUCAAGGCCAUGUUUUCAUAUACACUAUAAAGUUACAGAAUGUCUUUUAACGAUUGCGCAAGCAGUCAUUAAACCUAUACAACUUUCAGCAACGGAUCUCUUGGCUCUC